GGGUUGUGAGGUUAAGCGACUAAGCGUACACGGUGGAUGCCUUGGCAGUCAGAGGCGAUGAAGGGCGUGCUAAUCUGCGAUAAGCGCCGGUAAGGUGAUAUGAACCGUUAUAACCGGCGAUACCCGAAUGGGGAAACCCAGUGUGACUCGUCACACUAUCAUUAACUGAAUCCAUAGGUUAAUGAGGCGAACCGGGGGAACUGAAACAUCUAAGUACCCCGAGGAAAAGAAAUCAACCGAGAUUCCCCCAGUAGCGGCGAGCGAACGGGGAGGAGCCCAGAGCCUGAAUCAGCAUGUGUGUUAGUGGAAGCGUCUGGAAAGGCGCGCGAUACAGGGUGACAGCCCCGUACACAAAAGCGUAUGUGCUGUGAGCUCGAUGAGUAGGGCGGGACACGUGGUAUCCUGUCUGAAUAUGGGGGGACCAUCCUCCAAGGCUAAAUACUCCUGACUGACCGAUAGUGAACCAGUACCGUGAGGGAAAGGCGAAAAGAACCCCGGCGAGGGGAGUGAAAAAGAACCUGAAACCGUGUACGUACAAGCAGUGGGAGCCCCACCACUAAGCCAGUGGUGAACUCCACAUACGCAUCCUUUGCUGAGGAUACGGUUAACGGAGCGAAAGCGACGUUCAACCGCAAAAGAAGCAGAGGGGGCUUAGUGGUGGGGUGACUGCGUACCUUUUGUAUAAUGGGUCAGCGACUUAUAUUCUGUAGCAAGGUUAACCGAAUAGGGGAGCCGGAGGGAAACCGAGUCUUAAC
Molecule: ribosomal RNA, 755 nt
Filed under: Salmonella enterica
Lineage: Bacteria; Pseudomonadati; Pseudomonadota; Gammaproteobacteria; Enterobacterales; Enterobacteriaceae
Description: partial 23S ribosomal RNA
Rfam family: Bacterial large subunit ribosomal RNA
Source: RNAcentral